Molecule: ribosomal RNA, 468 nt
Filed under: uncultured bacterium
Lineage: Bacteria
Description: partial 16S ribosomal RNA
Rfam family: Bacterial small subunit ribosomal RNA
Source: RNAcentral
GACGAACGCUGGCGGCGUGCUUAACACAUGCAAGUCGAACGGAAAGGCCCUGCUUUUGUGGGGUGCUCGAGUGGCGAACGGGUGAGUAACACGUGAGUAACCUGCCCUGGACUUUGGGAUAACUUCAGGAAACUGGGGCUAAUACCGGAUAGGAGCUCCUGCUGCAUGGUGGGGGUUGGACAGUUUCGGCGGUGGGGGAUGGACUCGCGGCUAAUCAGCUUGUUGGUGGGGUAGUGGCUUACGAAGGCUUUGACGGGUAGCCGGCCUGAGAGGGUGACCGGCCACAUUGGGCCUGCGAUACGGCCCAGAGUCCUACGGGAGGCAGCAGUGGGGAAUAUUGCACAAUGGGCGGAAGCCUGAUGCAGCAACGCCGCGUGUGGGAUGACGGCCUUCGGGUUGUAAACCGCUUUCGCCUGUGACGAAGCGUGAGUGACGGUAAUGGGUAAAGAAGCACCGGCUAACUACGUG